UGUGUUGCUUACCUACGUAAAGGAAUUCGAUCGUUCGGUUGCCCCUCUCCGCCCCAUGCCCUGUGCGGGUGUGGGGNGGACAUCAGGCCGGCUCCGUGUUUCCUGGCAUGCCUCGCCCAGCUGCUUGGCUGCCUUGGCGCACGGUGCUCGUUGCCCGUUCUCUCGGAUGCGGAACGUCAUGCGCGGGUGCGGGGGCCUCGGCCUUCGCUAGCCCGAGCUACGCAUUUGUCCCUUGACACGAACGACGGUCGCCCCCGUCUUGACCCCGCGGCCUUCGGGCCGUCGGGGCUCAUGCGGGCGUCGACGUCGGCGAGGAAUGCUACCUGGUUGAUCCUGCCAGUAGUCAU
RNAcentral lists this unclassified non-coding RNA (347 nucleotides) under Lannea schweinfurthii. RNAcentral's name for it is "partial external transcribed spacer". Lineage: Eukaryota; Viridiplantae; Streptophyta; Magnoliopsida; Sapindales; Anacardiaceae. The record is from RNAcentral.